This 378-nucleotide unclassified non-coding RNA is filed under the name uncultured Chlamydiales bacterium. RNAcentral describes it as "contains 16S-23S intergenic spacer region". The record is from RNAcentral. Lineage: Bacteria; Pseudomonadati; Chlamydiota; Chlamydiia; Chlamydiales.
UCCUGGUUAACCCAGGCAGUCUCAUUAGAGUCCCCAGCAUUACCUGUUGGCAACUAAUGAUAAGGGUUGCGCUCGUUGCGGGACUUAACCCAACACCUCACGGCACGAGCUGACGACAGCCAUGCAGCACCUGUGCAGAAGCUCCGAAGAGAAUUACUAUUUCUAGUAACGUCUUCUGCAUGUCAAGCCUAGGUAAGGUUCUUCGCGUUGCAUCGAAUUAAACCACAUGCUCCACUGCUUGUGCGGGUCCCCGUCAAUUCUUUUGAGUUUCACCCUUGCGAGCGUACUCCCCAGGCGGCACACUUAUCGCGUUAGCUACGGCACAGCUAGGGUUGAAUCCAGCUACACCAAGUGUGCAUCGUUUACGGCAAGGACUAC